Molecule: ribosomal RNA, 265 nt
Filed under: uncultured archaeon
Lineage: Archaea
Description: partial 16S ribosomal RNA
Rfam family: Archaeal small subunit ribosomal RNA
Source: RNAcentral
AGACGUCUACAUUAGAUACCCGUGUAGUCCCAGCCGUAAACUAUGCGCGUUAGGUGUAUCGGUGACCACGAGUUACCGAGGUGCCGAAGGAAACCGUGAAACGUGCCGCCGUGGGAAGUACGGUCGCAAGGCUAGAAACUUAAAGGAAUUGGCGGGGAGCACCACAACGGGUGGAGCCUGCGGUUUAAUUGGACUCAACGCCGGGAAGCUCACCGGAUAAGACAGCGGAAUGAUUGCCGGGCUGAAGACUCUGCAUGACUAGCUG